CUUUCUAUCAGGCCUAGGAGAGCUAAGUUAUCUUGGAACCUCAAGAGGAGAGGAAUUUAUUCAACUUAUAGGUAUUUGAGGGUACAAACCCAUGGCAGGGCUCAGCUCUAAAAAAGUCUUGUCUAAGAUUCCUUCUAUGGAACAGAGUUACAUCAAUGCCAAUUUAAAGAGAGCUUAUGUGAAAAAUAAUUAUUCUUGCUGCACUUUAUACAAAUAAUCAGGCCAAGUAAAAUGAAACAAAUCAGUCUUACCAUGAUUUGUCUUAAUAAAAAUGGGAAACUGGAGAGAGAAAAAUUAUGUUUCAAGAACUAUGGUACACUUGUUAUUAAAUUCUAGUCUCAUCAGUUGUUUAUGAGUUUAUUUCCUGUAAUUAAGACUAAUCCUGCUUAUCCCUGUGAACCAACUAGUGAUCUCUGACUGCUGCUCAGAAGAAACAAGAGGCAUGGGUAAUGUAAAAAUCUGGAUCAAUAUUCUGGGCACAUAUUGAAAUCAUCUAGCAACCCCAUAUCAGCUUGUUUCCAACAGCUGCCCAGUUCAUGGAAAGCCUUCUAAUUUAGCUUACUUGGGAUAAUUUUACGUAUUUUGCCUUACUAUUGUGUAAUAUAUUGCUGUUGUACUCUUUGUGUAGGAAAGAGGAUGAGGUUACUCAAUGUUUUCUUAAAUUGAACACUUAUUAAUCUUCCAGAUACCAUCUUUUGUUGGAACUCAAAAGUUAUGAAUGUCCCUCACCGUACCAAUGCUUUCUGACUGAGCUGUUUUAUACCCCAAAUACAAGAGACUCUAAUAGUUAGGCAGGAACAUCAUCACCCCUAUUCUGCCUGAAGUAGUUACAGAAGAUAGAUCUUCAUCCCUCUGCAAACCUUGAAGUUAGGGUUGUCUUUUAAAAGGGAGGGGGGAAAUGUCAGAGGCAUUUGAACCAGAGCAAAUCCAUCUUGAAUAAGGGUGGAGUAAAAUGAGGCUGAGACCUACUGGGCUGCAUUUCCAGAUGGUUAAGGCAUUCUAAGUCACAGGAUGAAACAGGAGGUCAGCACAAGAUACAGGUCAUAAAGUCCUUGCUGAUAAAACAGUUUGCAGUAAAGAAGCUGGCUAAAAUCCACCAAAACCAAGAUGGCCAUGAAGAGUGACUUCUGGUCGUCCUCACUGCUACACUCCCACCAGUACCAUGACAGUUUACAAAUGCCAUGGCAAUGACAGGAAGUUCCCCUAUAUGGUCUAAAAAGGCGAGGCAUGAAUAAUCUACUCCUUGUUUAGCAUAUCAUCAAGAAAUAACCAUAAAAAUGGGUAACCAGCAGCCCCUGUGGCUGCUCUGUCUAUGGAGUAGCCAUUCUUUUAUUCCUCUACUUUCUUAAUAAACUUGCUUUUGCUUUGUACUGUGGACUCACCCUGAAUUUUUUCUUGCCCAAGACCCAAGAACCCUCUCUUGGGGUCUGGAUCAGGACCCUUCUCCUGUAACAAUACUAUUUAAGCAAGGCCCCAGAACCACUGCCUUGAGAGGGAAAUAUUUUUGAACUGAGGCCUUUCCCUGUGAUGGGUACAGCAUGCAUUACUAAACUUCUACUUGUUUUUCUUCUGUUAAUCUUACUUUUGUUUUCAGGAGGGUGUCUCAAUUAAGAACUUAAAAAAGAAAGGAAAAGAAAUUAUGUUUGCUCCCCUACAUACUUUAUGCACAGAGCCUGAAAGGAAUUGUUUACAAUACUUCGAAUAAUUUUGUGCAUGAAACAAAGUUCUGAUUGAGACCUGUCACAUGAGGUCAACUGUGGAAUUUUCCACUCAUGGCAUCAUGUCAGUGCUCAACUUUCAAAUUUUGGAACAUUUCAAGUUUAGAUUUUUAUAUUAUGGAUGCUCAACCUGUUCCCUGUGUAUCCAGGGUUUGUUAUUGCUGUUUUGUUGUUUUUACUGUUUGUUUAGUAACUUUCCUCGACAAAUUCUGUAAAUAAGUAUUUCCUUUUAUGACUGAAGUCCUACUCAGUUAACUUAGUGGUCAGCUAAUGACUGAACAGAGAUUUUCUUAAGUUCUUGGAACUAAUAAGUCUCUAGCCUUAGCCAAGGGGUACUGUUAGCUGUGUGUUGGGGCACACUUUCAAUGCUCCAGUACGACUUCCUGGUUGCAAGGUCAGCCAGAGGUGAGAAGUUAGGUUCCACUUAGGUCUUUCCUGAGCACACACAGCUCUGCCAUGUGUAUGGCCUUCCAGAUCCCUUGUGAUAUGUUGGAGCUUUUUCAAAGCCCCCUGUGAAUAACCCAUUCCCAAGAUCUUCCUUUUAAAUAUUUUGCCAGGCUCCCAUUUGCCCCAACUGGUAUUGCAGCCUCAGGCAGCCACAUGUUAAAUCAUUGCUAUUGGUUGUUUUUGACAAACACCCUAGGGAUAAGUUUUACACCCCAGAUCCCAAGCAAUGAGCUGUGAAUCAGAUCAAAUAAUGACAACAACAUCCUGUGAAUGGAGCUUUCCCAGGGAGCUGAAAGACAGGUAAAAUGUGACAAUUCUAAGGAGAUGUGCUUUUGGGGGAGCUCUAAAUCCAGGUUAUACCUCCAGUGGCUGUAAGGCUGCUCAUUUGCACAGCUUCCAUAAUUGCAGAGCUGCUGUUUUCAAGAUUUCUGCAGAGUGGGAGUGAGGAGUACAGGAAUAGUGCAAGUUAAAAUGUUACAACAUUUUGCUAUUCUUACCAAGAUUCAGCAGUUUUUCUUGCAUAAAUCCUCCUUGGAUUUUUUGCAAGCCUUUGGUUAAUUUCCAGAGUUUAAAAAAAGUUGGUUUUUUUUUUUUUGUUGUUUUUGUUUUUUUGGCCACGUAUUCUUAAGAGUGGAUUUUUGGAAGGUUAUUACUUCACCAUUCUGGAAGUCUCCAACCUCUCAACCUGACCUAGAGCUGCAAUUACCAGUUAUGAUGUAUUAAAGUGAACUAAACAUGGCCUGAGAAGGAGUCUGUACUUCAAUAUUUGAGUCCUUGUGGAUGAACUGCAACCUAACUUGAUAGGUGGACAAGAUUAAAAACCUAAUUUAGGAGUAUGCACCUGUAACAAUAGCUGAGUCUUGGCCAAUCCCAGCAGUCAUACUUCAACCACUCAUAUACAGCUGAGUGUUCAAACUGUGUUCAAAAAAGGCAAACGCCCAGCUGUAACCAACCCAGCUGUUUUUAUGCCUUACUUCCGAUUUCUGUAUGUCACUUCCCUUUUUUGUCUAUAAAUUUGUUCUGACCACUAGGCAUCACUGUAGUCUCUCUGAAUCUGCUGUGAUUCUGAAGGCUGCCCAGCUUGUGAAUCAUUCAUUGCUCAAUUAAACCCUUUAAAUUUAAUUUGGCUGAAGUUUUUCUUUUAACAGAGGCUUAGCAAUGGAAUUAAGGGGGUGGGGAGGCUGUCCUUUUGGUGAAUUUUUUUUUUUUUUUUUUUUUACGGCUGCACCAAAUGCUUUUCCAGAAGUUUUUGUCCUCUCUUUGAGCACUUGGAAAGCCUGUGCCCUUUGUAACCACCUGCCAGGCCUUGCAAGGUAGAAAGGCAUCUACAUUCAGAGAAACCUUCUGAGGCCCUCCUGAUACAAAGAUAAUCCAAGGGGAGUCCCAAUGUCAGCCUGAGAUGAGAGGAUCUUCCAGCCUCUUGGGACCUUCUCUCUGAUCAGCUUUCUCAGCGAGGUUUCUCAGUGCCACUAGUCACUCUUCUCCUUGCCUUGAUGGUGCCCCACCAAUUGGUAGCUAUCUUCUCACUUUUGGCCACUCCUCAGGCACUUUUUGUGUAGUUCAUGAUGCCCUAAGAGAUUUUAAACUGUCUGUAACACUGGCAAGAGCUAUAUCUCUUCACUAUUGAAAAAUAAGGAAGUCUCAAUGACUUUCACGAGAAUAUUCAGGAAUUAUAACUAAGGUCUGCAAGUCUGGCUUAGAAGCAACUGCCUUCAGAAUGGCCAGUUAUUGCUGGUGACCAGUGUGAUAACUGAUCAGUAGAAACUCCACACCCUUGGAUGAGUCAUGUUUCCAGGCUGAUUACAUCUCUUUCACAGCAAACGGCCUUCUCAGGAGAGCCAGCUUAGCAUCUCACUGGAGCCAGACAGCCUUGGUAUUAGAGUGAUAGCAUAAGGGAUCCUUUCUGUUUGCUAUAAUAAGCCUCACUUCCUAUAAAGAAAGAAGUGGAGAGAUUUUGACUUUGCAAGACACUUCUAGAGAAAAAUUGGCCCACACAGUAGAGGAGCAGAAGGAGAACAACUUGGAUGUAUGCAUCAGACCUUGCCCCCUUGAAAAUCCUGAACCAGAGAGUGUGGCAGAUUACAGAUGACUGCAAAUUCAUUGAUAUUCCUCCUGUUGAGAGAGCCCUGAGUCACCAUUUAAGAAGUCCGACUACCCUGCUGAAGAGAUCACAUGGAGGGGCUCUGAGACUACAGCCUGAGAGCUGUUCCCACCAAGGUGUCAGGCUUGUGACUGAAGCCAUCUUGGAUGUUCCAGACUGGCCCAGGUAGCAGCUUAGUACCAUCAGGUGACUCUAGUUGGUGCCAUAUGGAACAGAAGAAUCACCCAGCUGAUCGCCCCUCAAAUUCCUGACCCAUGGUAUCAUGAGAUAGAAUAACUGUUUUAAGCUACUAAGUCUUGGAUUAGUUUGUUAUGCAGAGACAAAUAACCAGAACAGGGAGCCAGUUGCCCUUCUGUGAGAGUCUGCCUUAGACAUGAGCAAGGGACUAGAGGUAGACCCUGACUUUUCUGCAGCUGCAUCUAGAUGGGGCCCAUAUAACCCCUCUUAGGGUGUCCUGCUGGUGCAUCACUUGAUGGGGCUCCUAGGUGCCUGCUUAGUACACAAGCUGAUCAUACCCAGGUAGGAACCUCCCUUGUCCUCUUGGUGAAUAGCAAAUCUUGUGCUUAUGACCAGCAAAUAUGUAUCUAGAAGGGAAAUUACUGAGUCACGGAUAUGUAAAUUUCUAAACUUUUUGAUACAUACUGUCAAAUUGUAUUCCAGAAAGAUUCCACCCUUUUCCAGUUCCUUCCAAAGUCUAUGAGAGUGCUUACUCCCUGUCCCCUCAGUAACACUGGCUGUUAUCAACUGUGUGGCAACUGUGAUUUUAUAUGUAAUGUCAUCCAUUUGCAUGACCUUGUCAGAGGCCUUUACCAGAGCAACUCCAUCUUGAAUAGGAGCUGGAUAAAAUGAGGCUGAGACCUACUGGGCUGCAUUCCCAGAUGGUUAAGGCAUUCUAAGUCACAGGAUGAGACAGGAGGUCAGCACAAGAUACAAGUCAUAAAGAGCUUGCUGAUAAAACAGGUUGUAGUAGGCCGGGUACGGUGGGUCAUGCCUGUAAUCCCAGCAUUUUGGGAGGCCAAGGCAGGUGGAUCAUGAGGUCAGAAUAUUGAGACCAUCCUGGCCAACAUGGUGAAACCCCGUCUCUACUAAAAAUA
This 5360-nucleotide long non-coding RNA is filed under the name Homo sapiens (human). RNAcentral's name for it is "HSALNT0129318". Lineage: Eukaryota; Metazoa; Chordata; Mammalia; Primates; Hominidae. The record is from RNAcentral.